UACAGAGGUCUCAACCAUUGUUCGGAUUCAUUGGGCGUAAAGGGUGCGUAGGCGGCGGGGUAAGUCAGGUGUGAAAUCUCGGGGCUCAACCCCGAAACUGCACUUGAUACUGCCUCGCUUGAGUACUGGAGAGGAGACUGGAAUUUACGGUGUAGCAGUGAAAUGCGUAGAUAUCGUAAGGAAGACCAGUGGCGAAGGCGAGUCUCUGGACAGUUACUGACGCUGAGGCACGAAGGCCAGGGGAGCAAACGGG
RNAcentral lists this ribosomal RNA (253 nucleotides) under uncultured bacterium. RNAcentral's name for it is "partial 16S ribosomal RNA". It matches the Rfam family "Bacterial small subunit ribosomal RNA", at positions 524 to 776 of the family's 1533-position model. The record is from RNAcentral.